This 1635-nucleotide unclassified non-coding RNA is filed under the name Helicoverpa zea (corn earworm). RNAcentral describes it as "antichymotrypsin-1-like, transcript variant X21". The record is from RNAcentral. Lineage: Eukaryota; Metazoa; Arthropoda; Insecta; Lepidoptera; Noctuidae.
CAUUAAGAGUGAGAACGUGUGAACUGUGACGUCACACAACAUUCGAGUUGUAUUAUAUUUGUUGGGAUUGCCGGCGAGGGGUCAGUGUUGUGCCAUCCGCGGGACUGACAACAUGGCGAAGCUACUCUUUGUACUCGGUCUUGUGACCAUAGCCAUGGGAACGCCGUAUGACUAUGGCGGUUUCGACUCAUUCGGCCCACCUACCUACACAAAAACACAACUGGGUGAGAGCAUAGACAAGUCCACCUUGAAACUGCUGAAGGUGGCUUACGAUGUAGCUGAAAACAAGAACGUGAUAUCGUCGCCCCUCAGUCUUAUGGUUUUGCUGGCUCUAUUUAAUACUGGCGCUGGACCUGAAGCCAGGGAGGAGAUCACCCGGUUCCUGGGAGGCUCAGACUUCAAACAGACCUCGGACUCAUACAGGGACUUGAGCGUUCGGUUCUCGGAGUUGAACCCUGAGGCUCUGACAGUCGCCAACAAGGUGUGCGUGUCCGACAAGCUGAGCCUGCAAGACACCUUCACCGCCGCUGCCCGGUCUUACCGCAGUGAGGUCGACACCAUCGACUUCGGAAACGCCCAGGCCGCUUCUGACACCAUCAACCAAUGGGCUGACCAGAAGACCCAGGGUAACAUCAAGAAGCCCACCAGCCCGGACAUGUUCGGUGACGACGUCGUCGCUGCGCUUUUCAAUGUCAUCUACUUCAAGGGUCACUGGCACGUACCUUUCAAAGCUUCAGAGACGACAGACAAAGACUUCCACCUCACCAAAGAAUCAAAAGUUCAGAAACCGACGAUGCACCUUCUGCAAUCUCUGUAUUAUACUGAGAGCCCUGAACUCGGUGCUCGGAUGGUGGAGCUGCCCUACAAAGAAAGGGGCUUCCGUAUGGUUGUUGUGCUCCCGAACGAAGUAGACGGUUUACCAUCAGUUCUCGAAAAGGCUGCGGAGAAGGGUCUUCUCAAUGAUGUGUUCAACCUGAGCCCAGCUGGAGCCGACGUAGACCUGGACAUCCCCAAGUUUGACAUCAAGAGCAAACUGGACUUCAAUGACAUCCUGCCCAAGCUCGGAGUGUCAAAACUGUUCACCGAGGGUGCCGGAGGCAUUGUCAAGGAUCAAUCUGUGGUAGUAUCGAAAGCUUUCCAAGAAGCUUUCAUCAAGGUCGACGAGGAAGGCGCCACCGCUGGUGCUUUCACAGGAUCAGUUAUAAUGCCGAUAUCUUUAAUUUCUCAACCACCGCGUCCUAUCAAGUUUACAGUAGAUCAUCCAUUCUUAUACUUGAUCCUCUUCGAAGACAAAGUUCUUUUCGCAGGCACUUGCACAAGCUAAGGAGGACUGUUUACCACCAACAUGUUAGUCUAUCCCGAACCAAAACCAAUUGCGUUUACAGUCGACCGUCCAUUUUUAUAUGUGAUCCUCUUUGAAGAUAAAGUUCUGUUUGCUGGCACAUAUACAAAUUAAUCAGACACAACGCCUAGUCGCUGUUCCCAUGUCUUCAUUCUCAAGACCACCAGAACCAAUUAAAUUCCACGUAGACCAUCCGUUCUUAUACCUCAUACUUUUUGAAGACAAAGUUAUUUUUGCUGGCACUUAUGUCAAGUAAAAUUGUAAGAUACUCAAAUUAUUAUAAAAGUUGCCAA